RNAcentral lists this ribosomal RNA (1372 nucleotides) under uncultured bacterium. Its description in RNAcentral is "bacterial SSU rRNA". It matches the Rfam family "Bacterial small subunit ribosomal RNA", at positions 28 to 1381 of the family's 1533-position model. The record is from RNAcentral.
GAUGACCGUUGGCGGCGUGCCUAAUACAUGCAAGUCGAGCGAACAGACAAGGAGCUUGCUCCUUUGACGUUAGCGGCGGACGGGUGAGUAACACGUGGGUAACCUACCUAUAAGACUGGGAUAACUUCGGGAAACCGGAGCUAAUACCGGAUAAUAUUUCGAACCGCAUGGUUCGAUAGUGAAAGAUGGUUUUGCUAUCACUUAUAGAUGGACCCGCGCCGUAUUAGCUAGUUGGUAAGGUAACGGCUUACCAAGGCGACGAUACGUAGCCGACCUGAGAGGGUGAUCGGCCACACUGGAACUGAGACACGGUCCAGACUCCUACGGGAGGCAGCAGUAGGGAAUCUUCCGCAAUGGGCGAAAGCCUGACGGAGCAACGCCGCGUGAGUGAUGAAGGUCUUCGGAUCGUAAAACUCUGUUAUUAGGGAAGAACAUACGUGUAAGUAACUAUGCACGUCUUGACGGUACCUAAUCAGAAAGCCACGGCUAACUACGUGCCAGCAGCCGCGGUAAUACGUAGGUGGCAAGCGUUAUCCGGAAUUAUUGGGCGUAAAGCGCGCGUAGGCGGUUUUUUAAGUCUGAUGUGAAAGCCCACGGCUCAACCGUGGAGGGUCAUUGGAAACUGGAAAACUUGAGUGCAGAAGAGGAAAGUGGAAUUCCAUGUGUAGCGGUGAAAUGCGCAGAGAUAUGGAGGAACACCAGUGGCGAAGGCGACUUUCUGGUCUGUAACUGACGCUGAUGUGCGAAAGCGUGGGGAUCAAACAGGAUUAGAUACCCUGGUAGUCCACGCCGUAAACGAUGAGUGCUAAGUGUUAGGGGGUUUCCGCCCCUUAGUGCUGCAGCUAACGCAUUAAGCACUCCGCCUGGGGAGUACGACCGCAAGGUUGAAACUCAAAGGAAUUGACGGGGACCCGCACAAGCGGUGGAGCAUGUGGUUUAAUUCGAAGCAACGCGAAGAACCUUACCAAAUCUUGACAUCCUUUGACAACUCUAGAGAUAGAGCUUUCCCCUUCGGGGGACAAAGUGACAGGUGGUGCAUGGUUGUCGUCAGCUCGUGUCGUGAGAUGUUGGGUUAAGUCCCGCAACGAGCGCAACCCUUAAGCUUAGUUGCCAUCAUUAAGUUGGGCACUCUAAGUUGACUGCCGGUGACAAACCGGAGGAAGGUGGGGAUGACGUCAAAUCAUCAUGCCCCUUAUGAUUUGGGCUACACACGUGCUACAAUGGACAAUACAAAGGGCAGCGAAACCGCGAGGCCAAGCAAAUCCCAUAAAGUUGUUCUCAGUUCGGAUUGUAGUCUGCAACUUGACUACAUGAAGCUGGAAUCGCUAGUAAUCGUAGAUCAGCAUGCUACGGUGAAUACGUUCCCGGGUCU